This 60-nucleotide transfer RNA is filed under the name Dipodomys ordii (Ord's kangaroo rat). It matches the Rfam family "tRNA". From Rfam's summary of the family: Transfer RNA (tRNA) molecules are approximately 80 nucleotides in length. Lineage: Eukaryota; Metazoa; Chordata; Mammalia; Rodentia; Heteromyidae. The record is from Rfam by way of RNAcentral.
GGGAAUGUGGCUUAGUGGUAGAGUGCUUGCCUCGCAUGCAUGAAGCCACCAUCAUUUCCC